RNAcentral lists this ribosomal RNA (305 nucleotides) under uncultured bacterium. RNAcentral's name for it is "bacterial SSU rRNA". It matches the Rfam family "Bacterial small subunit ribosomal RNA", at positions 333 to 637 of the family's 1533-position model. The record is from RNAcentral.
UGACCUACGGGAGGCAGCAGUGAGGAAUAUUGGUCAAUGGGAGAGAUCCUGAACCAGCCAAGCCGCGUGAGGGAAGACGGCCCUAUGGGUUGUAAACCUCUUUUGUCGGAGAACAAAACCCGGGACGUGUCCCGGACUGCGUGUAUCCGAAGAAAAAGCAUCGGCUAACUCCGUGCCAGCAGCCGCGGUAAUACGGAGGAUGCGAGCGUUAUCCGGAUUUACUGGGUGUAAAGGGAGCGUAGGCGGCCUGGCAAGCCUGAUGUGAAAUACCGGGGCCCAACCCCGGGGCUGCAUUGGGAACUGCC